RNAcentral lists this non-coding RNA (148 nucleotides) under Nomascus leucogenys (northern white-cheeked gibbon). The record is from Rfam by way of RNAcentral. Lineage: Eukaryota; Metazoa; Chordata; Mammalia; Primates; Hylobatidae.
GUUGGGUGUGGUGGCGCACACCUGUAGUCCCAGCUACUUGGGAGGCUGAGGCAGGAGAAUUGCUUGAACCCAGGAGGUGGAGGUUGCAGUGAGUGGAGAUUGUACCACUGCACUCCAGCCUGGGUGACAGAGUGAGACUGUGUCUCAA